Molecule: non-coding RNA, 31 nt
Filed under: Mus musculus (house mouse)
Lineage: Eukaryota; Metazoa; Chordata; Mammalia; Rodentia; Muridae
Source: RNAcentral
CACCCUGUGUUCUACGAAACUGCUCUAACCC